UGAGUAACACGUGAGCAACCUGCCCCUGACUCUGGGAUAAGCGCUGGAAACGGCGUCUAAUACUGGAUACGAACCACAGUCGCAUGGCUGGUGGUUGGAAAGAUUUUUUGGUUGGGGAUGGGCUCGCGGCCUAUCAGCUUGUUGGUGAGGUAAUGGCUCACCAAGGCGUCGACGGGUAGCCGGCCUGAGAGGGUGACCGGCCACACUGGGACUGAGACACGGCCCAGACUCCUACGGGAGGCAGCAGUGGGGAAUAUUGCACAAUGGGCGGAAGCCUGAUGCAGCAACGCCGCGUGAGGGAUGACGGCCUUCGGGUUGUAAACCUCUUUUAGCAAGGAAGAAGCGAAAGUGACGGUACUUGCAGAAAAAGCGCCGGCUAACUACGUGCCAGCAGCCGCGGUAAUACGUAGGGCGCAAGCGUUAUCCGGAAUUAUUGGGCGUAAAGAGCUCGUAGGCGGUUUGUCGCGUCUGCUGUGAAAUCCCGAGGCUCAACCUCGGGCCUGCAGUGGGUACGGGCAGACUAGAGUGCGGUAGGGGAGAUUGGAAUUCCUGGUGUAGCGGUGGAAUGCGCAGAUAUCAGGAGGAACACCGAUGGCGAAGGCAGAUCUCUGGGCCGUAACUGACGCUGAGGAGCGAAAGGGUGGGGAGCAAACAGGCUUAGAUACCCUGGUAGUCCACCCCGUAAACGUUGGGAACUAGUUGUGGGGUCCUUUCCACGGAUUCCGUGACGCAGCUAACGCAUUAAGUUCCCCGCCUGGGGA
RNAcentral lists this ribosomal RNA (761 nucleotides) under Microbacterium sp. LMR311. Its description in RNAcentral is "bacterial SSU rRNA". It matches the Rfam family "Bacterial small subunit ribosomal RNA", at positions 107 to 879 of the family's 1533-position model. The record is from RNAcentral. Lineage: Bacteria; Bacillati; Actinomycetota; Actinomycetes; Micrococcales; Microbacteriaceae.